AGGGUGCAGGGCGGAUGCCUUGGCACUAGGAGCCGAUGAAGGACGUGAUAAGCUGCGAUAAGCUUCGGGGAGUUGCACGUAAACUUUGAUCCGAAGAUUUCCGAAUGAGGAAACUCACUUAGAGUAAUGUCUAAGUAUCAUUAAGUGAAUACAUAGCUUAAUGAGGGGAACUCAGGGAACUGAAACAUCUAAGUACCUGAAGGAAGAGAAAGAAAUUCGAUUCCGUAAGUAGCGGCGAGCGAACGCGGAUUAGCCCAAACCAAUAAAGUUUUCUUUAUUGGGGUUGCGGACAUAUCAUAACGAAGAGGUAUCGUAAUUGAAGAGGUUUGGAAAGACCCACCACAGAAGGUAAUAGUCCUGUAUGUUAAACGAGAAGACUUNAGAUAUGAUCCAGAGUACCACGGGACACGUGAAACCCUGUGGGAAGCAGGAGGGACCACCCUCCAAGGCUAAAUACUACCUAGUGACCGAUAGCGUAUAGUACCGUGAGGGAAAGGUGAAAAGAACCCCGGGAGGGGAGUGAAAUAGAACCUGAAACCCUGCACUUACAAGCUGUGGAAGCACAUUUCUUGUGUGACCGCGUACUUUUUGUAGAACGGGCCAACGAGUUACGUUAAGUAGCAAGGUUAAGCACUUAAGGUGUGGAGCCGUAGCGAAAGCGAGUUUUAACUGAGCGUUCAGUUACUUGACGUAGACCCGAAACCGGGCGACCUACCCAUGAGCAGGAUGAAGCGAAAGUAAAAUUUCGUGGAGGUCCGAACCCACGAGCGUUGAAAAGCUCGGGGAUGACUUGUGGGUAGCGGUGAAAUUCCAAUCGAGCCCGGAGAUAGCUGGUUCUCCCCGAAAUAGCUUUAGGGCUAGCCUCAAGGUGAGAGAUACGGAGGUAGAGCACUGAAUGUCCUAGGGGGUAUUGCACCUACCGAAGACUAUCAAACUCCGAAUGCCGUCAUCUUAUACUUGGGAGUCAGACUGUGGGUGAUAAGAUUCAUAGUCGAAAGGGCAACAGCCCAGAUCGUCAGCUAAGGUCCCUAAAUGUAAGUUAAGUGGUAAAGGAUGUGGGAUUGCACAGACAACCAGGAUGUUGGCUUAGAAGCAGCCACUCAUUCAAAGAGUGCGUAAUAGCUCACUGGUCGAGUGAUCCUGCGCCGAAGAUUUCCGGGGCUAAAACUUACUACCGAAGCUACGGCAUCAGUAAUGAUGGGUAGGGGAGCUUCCCAUACGGGUUGAAGCAUGACCGUAAGGACAUGUGGACAGUAUGGGAGUGAGAAUGUUGGCAUGAGUAGCGAGAUGUGGGUGAGAAUCCCACAGGCCGUAAACCCAAGGUUUCCAGGGGAAGGUUCGUCCGCCCUGGGUUAGUCGGGACCUAAGCUGAGGCCGAAAGGCGUAGGUGAUGGACAACAGGUUGAUAUUCCUGUACUACCGAUAACCGUUUGAGAGAAGGGAUGACACAGUAGGAUAAGCUAAGCACACUGUUGGUUAUGUGUGCCCAAGCAUUGAGGCAGUCAAAGUAGGCAAAUCCGCUUUGAUAAUGCUGGGAUGUGAUGGGGAGCGAAAUUUAGUAGCGAAGUAGCUGAUUUCACACUGUCAAGAAAAGUCUCUAUCGAGGUUAAAGGUACCCGUACCGCAAACCGACACAGGUGGGUGAGGAGAGUAUCCUAAGGCCAGCGAGAGAACUGUUGUUAAGGAACUCGGCAAAAUGACCCCGUAACUUAGGGAUAAGGGGUGCCACCAUCAGGUGGCCGCAGAGAAUAGGCCCAAGCGACUGUUUACCAAAAACAUAGGUUUCUGCUAAGUCGCAAGACGAUGUAUAGGAGCUGACGCCUGCCCGGUGCUGGAAGGUUAAGGGGAUCUGUUAGAGCAAUCGAAGCAGUGAACUUAAGCCCCAGUAAACGGCGGCCGUAACUAUAACGGUCCUAAGGUAGCGAAAUUCCUUGUCGGGUAAGUUCCGACCCGCACGAAAGGCGUAACGAUUUGGGCACUGUCUCAACAACAGACUCGGUGAAAUUGUAAUUCCGGUGAAGAUGCCGGAUACCUGCGACAGGACGGAAAGACCCCAUGGAGCUUUACUGUAGCUUGACAUUGGGUCUUGGUACUACAUGUACAGGAUAGGUGGGAGGCUUUGAAACCAGGACGCCAGUUUUGGCGGAGCCAUCCUUGGGAUACCACCCUUGUAGUACUGGGACUCUAACCAUAGGCCAUGAAUCUGGUCUUGGGACACUGUCAGGUGGGCAGUUUGACUGGGGCGGUCGCCUCCCAAAAGGUAACGGAGGCGCUCAAAGGUUCUCUCAGUACGGUCGGAAAUCGUACGUAGAGUGUAAAGGCAAAAGAGAGCUUGAUUGCAAGACAUACAGGUCGAGCAAGGAUGAAAAUCGGACUUAGUGAUCCGGUGGUUCUGCGUGGAAGGGCCAUCGCUCAACGGAUAAAAGCUACCCUGGGGAUAACAGGCUUAUCUCCCCCAAGAGUCCACAUCGACGGGGAGGUUUGGCACCUCGAUGUCGGCUCAUCACAUCCUGGGGCUGUAGUAGGUCCCAAGGGUUGGGCUGUUCGCCCAUUAAAGUGGUACGCGAGCUGGGUUCAGAACGUCGUGAGACAGUUCGGUCCCUAUCCGUCGCAGGCGUAGGAAAUUUGAGAAGACCUGUCCUUAGUACGAGAGGACCGGGAUGGACGUACCUCUGGUGUACCAGUUGUCCUGCCAAGGGCAUGGCUGGGUAGCUAUGUACGGAAUGGAUAAGCGCUGAAAGCAUCUAAGCGCGAAGCCAACUUCAAGAUAAGAUUUCCCACCGCAAGGGUAAGACCCCAGAAAGACUAUCUGGUUGA
This 2817-nucleotide ribosomal RNA is filed under the name Clostridioides difficile. RNAcentral describes it as "bacterial LSU rRNA". It matches the Rfam family "Bacterial large subunit ribosomal RNA". Lineage: Bacteria; Bacillati; Bacillota; Clostridia; Peptostreptococcales; Peptostreptococcaceae. The record is from RNAcentral.